Cinara cedri is the source of this 244-nucleotide non-coding RNA. NCBI's taxonomy places the organism in Eukaryota, Metazoa, Arthropoda, Insecta, Hemiptera, Aphididae. The record is from the annotation of a GenBank genome assembly.
AAUUACAUGGUCACUUUAUAUGCUGCUGUUAUUAAUGUAUGUCGUACAUUCAUGUUACUAGGGGUGGACUGGAAUCCAAUCGACCCACAAUUCUGAAAAAAAAAAAAAAAAUAUUGUCAGACCUAACAUAAAGCAUAACCAACACCCAGUGUACAAAAACAUUUACCUCUUCAUUUUUGAGUUUUUGAAUUGACUUAAAGGCUAUCCUUGUUAAAGAAUUUAUAGUAGAUCUGAGCAAACCUAA